GACCGCUCCGGUAGCAUAAUGGUUAGAGCGUUCACCUCAGAUGUGGGAGGUCGAGGGUUCGAAUCCCGACCGAGUCA
Molecule: non-coding RNA, 77 nt
Organism: Potamilus streckersoni
Lineage: Eukaryota; Metazoa; Mollusca; Bivalvia; Unionida; Unionidae
Source: the annotation of a GenBank genome assembly